RNAcentral lists this ribosomal RNA (484 nucleotides) under uncultured bacterium. RNAcentral's name for it is "partial 16S ribosomal RNA". It matches the Rfam family "Bacterial small subunit ribosomal RNA", at positions 30 to 507 of the family's 1533-position model. The record is from RNAcentral.
AUUGAACGCUGGCGGCAGGCCUAACACAUGCAAGUCGAGCGGAUGAAGGGAGCUUGCUCCUGGAUUCAGCGGCGGACGGGUGAGUAAUGCCUAGGAAUCUGCCUGGUAGUGGGGGAUAACGUCCGGAAACGGGCGCUAAUACCGCAUACGUCCUGAGGGAGAAAGUGGGGGAUCGUCGGACCUCACGCUAUCAGAUGAGCCUAGGUCGGAUUAGCUAGUUGGUGGGGUAAAGGCCUACCAAGGCGACGAUCCGUAACUGGUCUGAGAGGAUGAUCAGUCACACUGGAACUGAGACACGGUCCAGACUCCUACGGGAGGCAGCAGUGGGGAAUAUUGGACAAAGGGCGAAAGCCUGAUCCAGCCAUGCCGCGUGUGUGAAGAAGGUCUUCGGAUUGUAAAGCACUUUAAGUUGGGAGGAAGGGCAGUAAGUUAAUACCUUGCUGUUUUGACGUUACCAACAGAAUAAGCACCGGCUAACUUCGUG